AUUGAACGCUGGCGGCAGGCCUAACACAUGCAAGUCGAGCGAGCGGCGGACGGGUGCGUACUGUCUGGGAAACUGCCUGAUGGAGGGGGAUAACUACUGUAAACGGUAGCUAAUACCGCAUACCAUCAGAUGUUCCCAGUUGGGAUUAGCUGGUAGGUAGGGUAACGGCUUACCUAGGCCACGAUCCCUAGCUGGUCUGAGAGGAUGACACGCCACACUGGAACUGAGACACGGUCCAGACUCCUACGUGAGGCAGCAGUGGGGAAUAUUGCACAAUGGGCGCAAGCCUGAUGCAGCCAUGCCGCGUGUGUGAAGAAGGCCUUCGGGUUGUAAAGCACUUUCAGCGGGGAGGCGUUACCCGCAGAAGAAGCACCGGCUAACUCCGUGCCAGCCGCCGCGGUAAUAC
Molecule: ribosomal RNA, 406 nt
Filed under: uncultured bacterium
Lineage: Bacteria
Description: partial 16S ribosomal RNA
Rfam family: Bacterial small subunit ribosomal RNA
Source: RNAcentral